This 10784-nucleotide long non-coding RNA is filed under the name Nicotiana tabacum (common tobacco). RNAcentral's name for it is "long non-coding RNA (NTAB_LNC012592)". The record is from RNAcentral. Lineage: Eukaryota; Viridiplantae; Streptophyta; Magnoliopsida; Solanales; Solanaceae.
UUCAUCAGUCUCAAACAUGGCACAAACAAGUUGUAGGAACAAAUUGGAGCUUCUAUUUUACUUGUCCCUGCUGCUUGAAUGGCGACAAUAGCUUCGGGUGCUUUUUGUUACUUUGGAAGAGCUGGUUCCAUGUUGCCGCACUUUAGACAUGGGGUCUCUCGUCUAGUAACUGGAACGUGGGUAAUGAGUCUUCGAUUCAAUGAUAAAUAUUUAUUUCAUUCUAGCACUUAUUUCUCUGCCUUGCCAGUCCUGAAACUCUUUUUUUAUUCUGUUAUAGUCUUUGAUUGACUUGCCGGCCUAUGUUCGCGAUUGUGGUUUGUUGGGGGAGGGGAGGAUUUGGAGAUAAAAUGGAAUGAGGUAAAAUGGGAUUGAGGGGGUGAGGUAGCACGCCACAUGGGCGUCCAUCUCAGUGAAAUGUCAGGCCACAUAGGAUGGUGUUGGCCAUGGUAGAGGGCCCUAACGGCAUAGGGGUAUUUUUGUAUCAGUUCUGUAACUAGAAAGUUAUGGUGGACGGAUAGUAUAACAGAGGAUAUAACUAAUCGUUUUCACGUAGCAGAGGGAUAUUUUUGACAUGUUUCCGUGCAAAGAACUAAAUUUGCAGUUAGAGUUUAUCCAAGGCAAUAAGACACUAGCUGAAUCCAUAAAUUGCCAAUCCUUUAGAUUUCUGAUUCAGAACAUAUAAUUUAGAUCAACAAUAGAUGUAAAUGACUUGAUCAUAUUUCUACCUAGCAGCUAGUUAGAAUUGUGUAGCAGCCAACUGCAAUAUCUAUUUAACCUAAAAACGAUAACAAUUAAAUUUAUAUGUGAUUUUAAAGAUAUGCGGAUUAAUUCAAUACAAAUGAUAAAAAGUGUUAGAUUAAACAGAUAAAGGGCGUGAUAAAUUGUCAAACCCACUAAGAUGAAUGACCCCGGACUGAGUAACAGCUUAAUUAAAUGCCUGCCUUCGAUCUCGGGCUCACGAUAACGAAGAACUGAUGGACAAAAGUAAGAACUUUGAAUAACAGAGAAAAUAAGAGUAUAUUGUCAUGAUAUGUGUGUUACAAUGUGUCUAAUGAAUAGUUAGACUCCCCUUUAUAUAGUAGGGGAGUUUUACCCUAAGUACAAUUCCAUAAAAGGUAAAAAUAUUCCAUUUUGCUAAUCACAGAUUUUCUGCCGAUACGUGCCGAGAUUCACGCCGUGACAUCCGGCUAGGCGUGGAUAUCACGGCCCUUUGCUAGUCAUACUCUAUUAUCUGGUAAUGCUCUUCGAAGUUUUGGGAUUCGAAUCAGACCUGGGGGACGUGGCCCUGAUUAUUUCGAGGGCAGGUGUUUUGCCCGGACCCCGAGUCGAGGGGCUCCUUGCCCCGAUUCUGGUUCCUUACGAUCAUGUCUUUGCUCUGUUUCCUCCAUCAAGAACCAAGGUGUCCAAUGGGCUCGAUUUCAUCCGUAUACAGAUAGUCCCCUCGUUUCUCGUAGAUUAAGUUUACUGAAAUGACGAGAAACGACAUAUGCACUUCGAUCCCUUCUUUAAUACUCCGUGACAAAAAUGACAAAGACUCUAAAACAUCCCGUUAGUCGUGUCGUUAUGAUUUCAAAUACGCGUCAGCCAUCGCCAGGUCAUCCCUGAAUACGAAACAGCACGAAACCUUUAUAAAUACUUUCAUCCUUUGUUCAUUUUUUACCUUUUGGCCAAGCUUCUACCUUCGAAUUUUCUCAUGUCUUCUUUCUUUUACCCUUUCGCAGGGCUCGGUACUCCAUCACAAAAGCUUUCUUCGGUAUCUGACCAAGGUUAACCAGCUCGAGGCUGAGAUCAAGGAGCUUGAUGAGAAAAGAGACAUGUAUAAGCUUCUCAACGAGAAACAUGAAGGGGUCGUCAAGAAUCUCCAGGCCGAGCUAGAUGCGGCUCAGAAGAAGCAUGCCGACUUGGUCGAAAAGGUAAAGUUUUUCAAAGUUAGUAAUGAAGACUUAGCCAUGGUGACUAAUGACCAAACCUUGCAGGUUCAGUAGAAGAUUGAUCGGAUCGAUCAACUUUGAGCUGAAAUGAAUGAGGCCCACCAUGGCCGAUGUUUGGAAGGGCAAAAUGGAUCGGCUGGCUUCGGAGAAGGAGACCGCCCAGGCACAACUGGCAUCGAUAGAAGUUCAACUCUGGGUGGCAAAAUAGAAAGCCGAUAAGCGAGCCCAGCUCAACAAGGAACUCCGAGCUCAACUGAACUCGGCCAUGGCAGAGCGGGAUGCCCUCGACAGUGAAUGUGAAGCUGUAAAGGCUCAGAUGCGCACAACCUCCGGGCAUGCUGAGGAGAUGGUGGCCCAGUAUAAGGCCGAUGUCGAGGCAUCUGAGGCCCGCCUGAAAGCCACUGUUGAGUACGUGAAACGGUUGUCUCGAAGGGAAACUCACGAAGAGAUCCAUGCCCGAGUCUUUGACCUAUUUGUCGAGAUCAAGGACGUGAAAAGGCUCAAGGUCGAGGCCAAGAAGCUGGCUGAACCCGAGGAUGAAGAAGGCUCUAACGAACCUGAAGAUGAAGAAGACCCUGACGGCUCUGGUGACGAGGUGGGUUCUGGUGAAGAACAGAGGUAGGUGUCUCAGGAACUUUUGUCUUUGUUUUUGCAUUUUGUACAUUUAUUUUGUUGAGGCCGUUUUCAUUGGCCUUUGUAAAGACAUUCUGGAAUGCAUAUAUAAAGUUUUUUCCCUUUUGGCAAUCUUCAAGUCUAUUACCUUUAGCAUACUUUUUACAAUUGCAAAGAUUUCAAAUGCCUUAGCACGGAAUAAAACAUAGUAAUAAGUUAUUUUUCGGAGGUCCGAACAAGACUUGUCGUCGAUGCAAGUAUUGCUUGAAACUUAUGGGGGCUCGGAGUGACCAGAAAUUUUCCCCAAGAUGCUUGUUUAAAUGUUUUUAGACUAUAAUUUUGCCGAGGGUAACAUUUGAACAGGUUUGGAAUUUUGUUGAUGGCCUUAUGUUUUGAUUACGGGCUUCGGAUAUCUCCGAACUAUUUUUAGGGUGGUCGUAGCCUUUUAGGUUAGGGCACUUCCUAAUAGGUUUUGUGCCUCCGAGUUUCGAUAACCCGAGCCAACUAAACUUAUCCAGGACGGCAGUCCCCUAGUGGGGGUAGCCCUUUGGGCUCAGAUAGGGGUGGCCCUUGGGCUCGAUAGUUCUCGGGUAGGAUUAGCCCUUAGGCUCGAUACUUUUAAGAAGCAAAAAAUGUUUGUUAGCAAAGUAAAAACUUUCUUUCAUUUCUGCGCGUAACAUACAAGAUUGUGUAAAAGCUCGUAUUGCAGCUGGUGUGACCUACUCGGGCACGAUUAAUUUGACCGUUUGGCCCUUACAUUGAAUCCUAACCACCGAGCCUAGACUGUUCGAGCACAGAGUUUCCUUCCUUGCUAAAAAUCUUGACUCGAGGGUGAUGGCCCCCAGUAUUCGGGGUCGAUCUUUGAGUGGACUCAGAUAUUGUUGAUGCGACCAUUGACUCCGAUUUAAAACAGGUCUUCGACUCUAAGUUAGCACGAUUUAUUGUUGCCCCGUUAAAAACCUUGCUGGAAAACCCAUUUGGGACAAAACCGGUUCAAGGAACAAAGAGUGCAACGCGUGCUUUCAGGCCUAAUCAGCUACAUUAUCCUUCGGCAUUUGCCUGCAAGUGUUAGCCAAAAUAAAAGAAAAUGAAUGAGGGCGUACCUUAGUAGUAGUAUCAUUUUAAGUGGGCCACGUUCCAGUUGUUUGGUAGCUGUGUGCCGUUUCCCGCUUCGAGUUUGUAUGAACCUUUACCAGUAAUCCCGAUGACUCAAUGCGGACCUUCCCAGUUUGGUCCUAGCUUCCCUUCAUUUGGGUUUCGGGUGUUCUGUGUUACUCUUCUUAAUACCAAGUCCCCAAUGUUGAAAUGUCAGAGGUUGGCUCUUCGAUUGUAAUAUCUUUCUAUCCGCUAUUUUUGGGUGGCCAGCCGGACUAGAGUGGCCUCGCAUCUCUCAUCCAGUAGUUCUAGCCUCAUGCUUAUGGCCUCGGUGGUUAGAUUCUUCAGUUGCAUAUCAGAAUCUGAGGCUCGGUUCUCCCACCUCGAUCAGUAUUAGUGCUUCGGCGCCGUAGACCAACGAAAACAGGGUGGCCCCGGUACUGGAUUUUGAGGUUGUGCGAUAUGCCCUCAAGUCUUCGGGUAGGAUUUCCUUCCAUUUCCCUUUGGCAUCGGCCAACCUUUUCUUAUGGUUUUGAAGGAUUGUUUUAUUCGUUGACUUCGCCUGCCCGUUCCUACUAGGGUGAUAAGGUGUUGACAAGAUCUUCUUGAUCUUAUGCUCCUCAAACAAUUUGCUUACUUUGCUGCCGAUGAACUGUUUCUCGUUAUCACAUACUAUCUCGGACGGUAUACUGAACUGGCAUAUGAUGUGGUCCCAAAUGAAGUCUAUGACUUCUUUUUCCUGGACUUUCUCGAAUGCUUGAGCUUCAACCCAUUUAGAGAAAUAGUCAGUCAUAAAUAGUAUAAAUUGAGCCUUACCAGGUGCCCACGGUAGGGGACCGACGAUGUCCAUUCACCACUUCAUGAACGACCAGGGCGAUAAGACCGAGUGUAGUAACUCCCCGGGCUGAUGGAUCAUUGGUACGUGCCUCUGACAGCCGUCGCAUUUUCAUAUGAACUCCUUCGCAUAUUUCUCCAUGUCAAUCCAGUAAUAGCCGGCUUUGAUUAUCUUAUGAUCUAACGAUUCUACCCCCGAAUGGUUUCUACAGGUGCCUUCGUGAACUUCCCUUAAAACAUAUUCGGUGUUUCCCCGCCCUAAGCAUAUGGCGAGUGGGCCAUCGAACGUUCUUCUGAACAGAGUAUUAUCUUUGGACAGGCUAAACAUGGCCGCCUUCGUGCACAGAGUUCUCGAUUCUUUGGGAUCCGAAGGCAGCUUCCCGGUCUUCAUGUAAUCUAUAUACUUGUUUCUCCAGUCCCAAGUUAAACUUGUCGAGUUUAUCUCGGCAUGUCCUUCUUCCACUACCGAUUUCAUGAGUUGUACGACCGUUCCCGAGCUGAAUUCAUCGUCAUCAGCCGAUGACCCCAAGUUGGCCAGAACAUUGGCUUCGCUAUUUUGAUCUCGGGGCACGUGUUGUAGGGUCCAUUCCUUUAAUCGAUGUAGCGUUACUGUAGUUUAUCCAAGUAUCUUCACAUUCGUUCCUCUUUCACUUCGAAUGUCCCAUUGACUUGAUUUACCAUAAUGAGGGAAUCGUAUUUAGCUUCGAUCACUUCAGCCCGGAGGAUUUUAGCCAAUCUGAGACCUACAAUCAUGGCCUCAUACUCGGGCUCAUUGUUAAUCAAUUUCAUAGUUCUAACAGAUUGCCUAACUACGUUACCUGUGGGCGGCUUCAAUACGAUGCCGAGUCCGGACCCCUUUAUGUUCGAGGCACCAUCCGUAAAGAGGGUCCAGAUCCCCGAGGAGGUUCCCAAGGUUAGCAGCAAUUCCUUUUUGACUUUGGGUAUUAAGGCCGGCGUGAAGUUGGCCACGAAGUCUGCCAAAAUUUGAGAUUUGAUGGCGUUCCGGGGUCGAUAUUUGAUAUCGUACCCGCUAAUUUCAACGGCACAUUUGGCCAACCAUCCCGAGAGCUCGGGUUUGUGCGUUAUGUUCCUUAAUGGGUAAGUAGUUACGACACAUAUGGGAUGGCAUUAAAAAUAUGGCCUUAAAUUCCUAAGGCGCUUAGCAAAGCGAGCACCAAUUUCUCCAGGUGAGGAUACCUCAUUUCGGCCUCGCCUAGAGUCUUGAUAACGUAAUAUACAGGAAAUUGCGUACCUUCUUCUUCCCGGACUAAAACUCCACUUACCGCUAUCUCGGAUACCGCUAAGUACAGGUACAACUGCUCGUCUCCCUUCGAGUAUGAAGCAAAGGUGAACUCGAAAGGUACUGUUUGAAUUCUUCCAAAGCUUGCUGGCACUCCGGGGUCCACGAGAAGUUAUUCUUCUUCUUCAAUAACGAGAAUAACCGAUGGCUCUUAUCGGAGGACCUUGAAAUGAACUGACCCAGGGCGGCUAUGCACCUGGUUAGACUUUGAACGACCUUGACAUUGUCCACCAUGGUGAUAUCCUCUAUAGCUUUGAUCUUGUCGGGAUUGAUCUCUAUCCCCCGGUUGGACACCAUGAAUUCGAGGAACUUCCCGGAUCCGACCCCGAAUGCGCAUUUCUCUGGGUUUAGCUUCAUAUUGUAUUUCUUUAGUAUGUUGAAGGUUUCCUGCAAGUGUUCCAAAUGGUUCUCUGCUCGCAGGGACCUAACUAACAUGUCGUCAAUCUAUUCCUCCAUUGAUUUUCCUAUUUGCUCUUCGAAUAUCCAAUUUACUAGGCGUUGGUAUCUGGCACCGGCAUUUUUUAGUCCGAAUGGCAUUAUGUUAUAACAAUAGGUACCGUAUUUAGUGAUGAAGGUUGUCUUUUCUUGGUCGCCCGGAUCCAUCCUGAUCUGGUUGUACCCGGAAUAGGCGUCGAGAAAGCUGAGUAUCUCGUGGCCAGCCAUCGCAUCGAUCAUGCGAUCGAUAUUAGUCAAAGGAAAAGAGUUCGUAGGGCAUGCCUUGUUCAAGUCUUUGUAAUCUAUACACAUUCUUAAUUUAUUUCCCUUUUUAAGCACUACUACUACGUUUUCUAAUCAACCCGGGUACUUAACUUCCCAAAUGGAACCGAUUUUAAGGAGUUUGGAUACCUCGUCUUUGAUGAAUGCAUUCUUGACUUCGAACUAAGGCCUCCUCUUCUGUUUAACCGGGUGGAACUUCGGAUCCAAGCUUAGCUUAUGAAUAGUUAUUUCUGGCGGAAUCCCUGUCAUAUCAAGAUGGGACCAAGCAAAACAAUCUAUGUUAGCUAUAAGGGGUUCAAUGAGUUUUUUCCUGAGCUCGAGAGUUAGCCCCGUGCCCAGGCAUACCUUCCGAUGGGGCAAGCGCUUGACCCGUACGACUUGCUCCAGCUCCUCAACCGUUGACUUGGUAGCAUCGAAAUCUUUAGGGGAUAUGAACGACCUAGGGACUCCGUAAUCAUCAUCCUCACCUGCCUCCUGCUUCUCUGGUUCGGUCGGGACCGGUGUCGGUGAUUGCUAUUUGGUUUCUUUACUUGUAACCGGACUCAGGUCCGUUGGUGCAGAUAUCGGGACCACCUCAUCGACCGCGAACAUUUUCUUUGGGGUCAGCUGUUCUCCGUAAACAGUCUUGAUCCCUCCCGGUAUAGGGAAUUUCAAUACCCGAUGUAAUGUCGAGGGUACUGCCCUUAUGUUGUGAACCAUGACCUUCCGAAUAGAGCAUUAUAUCUCAUAUAUCCUUCGAUCACGUAGAACUUCAUUUUCUAAACAGUUCCGGUGGUGUUCACCGGCAAGGUUAUUUCCCCUUUAGUAGUCUCGCAUGCCAUGUUAAAUCCGUUUAAAACUCAUACUACAGGCACUAUUUGGUCUUGCAGACCCAGCUGUUCCAUGACCCUCGAUCUGAUGAUAUUGGCUGAGCUUCCUAGACCCAUUAACACACGCUUAACUCGAGAUUUAUUUAUGAGUACGGAUAUUACCAGUGCAUCAUUAUGUGGUUGCACGAUGCGUUCAGCGUCCUCGUCGUUGAAAGAUACGGUUCCCUCCAGUACAUAAUCUCGAGUUCAUUUUUCCAUUAUAAUAGACACCUUAGUGCGCUUCAACAUCGGUCCCUUGGGGGACAUCAACUCUACCAAUGAUCAUGUUAAUGACGUGCUGAGGUUCAUCUUGAUCGAUCUGCUUGUUGGAGUCCCUAUUCCUGAAGUGAUUUUUGGCUCGAUCACUCAAAAAUUCUCAGAGGUUGUCGGCAGUCUUCAGUUCUGUGGCCGUGAGUACCAUGAUACUUGCACAUUAGGUUGGGGUCCCUUCGGGUAGGAUCGGAUUGCAACGGUCGAGGCCACUUAGUAUCUUUGAUACGUCCGAUGGCUGAUAUGAUACCGGCAACAUCGACAUUGAAUUUGUACUCCGAUAACCUCGGUGCCUCCUUAGACCCGAUGGGUCUGUCGAAACCAUUUUUUCUCACUAGCCCCCGGUUAUUAUGACCUCGAUCACUUCUUCUUUCAUUCCUCCUAGGGUUGCGUCCGGACCCAUUACCCCUUCGAUCUCCAUUGUAUAGUUGAUACCGAUCUCUGCUCGAUUUUGGUUCAUGAUCGACGUCUCUUUUGGAUAUGUCGCUAGUUAUGAUGGAAUAAACGGAACCGAAAGGGGCCCCGAGCUGAUCAUCUUCGACCCUAAUUUUUGAUUGGUACCUGUUAUGGACGUCGGCCCAAGUUACCACCGGGUACUCUAUCAAAAUUUGUUUCAACUACUGCGAAGCCAAUGAGAUUUGGGGGUUGAGUCCUUGGGUGAAUGCCUGAACGGCCCAAUCAUCUGCGACCGAAGGCAGAUCCAUCCGUUCCAUUUGAAACCUCGACACGAAUUCCCUGAGCAUCUCGUUAUCUCUUUGCUUUACUUUAAAAAGGUCUGACUUUCUGGUCUCGGCCUUGAUGGCCCUGGCGUGCGUUUUAACUAAGGCAUCUGCAAGCAUAGUGAACGAAUCAAUAGAAUUAGGGGCUAAGUUGUGAUACCAUAUCAUAGCUCCUUUUACAAGGUCUCUCCUAACUUUUUCAGUAGAACGGAUUCGAUCUCAUCUUCUUGCAAAUCGUUUCGCUUGAUGGUGCACGUGUAGGAGGUCACAUGUUAAUUUGGAUCAGUUGUUCCAUUAUACUUGGGAAUUUCAGUCAUACGGAACUUCUUUGGGAUCGGCUUCGGAGCUGCGCUCGGAGAGAAAUGCUUUUGGACAAAUUUCUUGGAAUCCAGGCCCUUAAGUAUCGGUGGUGCUCUUGGGAUUUGAUCGACCCUGGAGUUAUUGGUCUCCACUUUUUUGUCGUUAGCUUGGAUUUUCGUUUCUCCCGAUUCCACCCGUUUUGUCAUUCCCUCAAGCAUCUUUAUUAUCUCGGGGUUGGACCCGGGUUCUACUUCACCCAGCCUUUCUGUGGCUGGUCCAUUUCUGCGAGCGUUUUCCUGGGAUGGUUCGGGCUCAACUCUGCUGGGGGCGCGACUUUGGUUUUGCAACUGGGCUAUCGCUGCUUGUUGAGUGUGUAACAUUUUGAAGAUCACCAGCAAGUUGAUCCCAUCACCUUCGCUGUCGUGUGUACUCCGGGCUAUCGACCGGUCUCCCUCGCGAAUGCUAUUUUCGGGAUCAGUAGGAGGGUUUGCUUCGAUAGCCACGUGUGAGUUAGCAUCAAUCGGGUCCACGACUGGGACUCCGUUAGGGUAAACAGGGGGCACCUUAUUGCUGGGCACCACGUUGUUGUUCUCGCCAUGGUGGCUAGACUCAGCAUCAACGUUAAAAUGGGCAGAUUGGGCGUUUGAAUUUUUAAUUUGACCUGAAAUUAAAAGCUCAAAGAACAAGUGUAAAAUAGAGUGUGUUAUAGAAAUUUGUAUCAAAUUGCCACUAUUAUCCUUAGCCCCACGGUGGGCGCCAAACUGUUUACCCUAAAAAAUGGAUAAUAAUUGAAUUUAUAUAUAAUUUUAAGGAUAUGCGGAUUAAUUCAAUACAAAUGAUAAAAAGCGUUAGAUUAAACAGAUAAAGGGCGUGAUAAAUUGUCAAACCAAUUAAUAUGAAUGACCCCGGACUCAAUAACAGCUUAAUGAAAUGCCUGCCUUCGAUCUCGGGCUCACGAUAACGAAGAACUGAUGGACAAAAGUAAGAACUUUAAAUAACAGAGAAAAUAAGAGUAUAUUGCCAUGAUAUAUGUGUUACAAUAUGUCUAAUGAAUAGUCAGACUCCCCUUUAUAUAGUAGGGGAGUUUUACCCUAAGUACAAUCCCAUAAAAGGUAAAAAUCUUCCGUUUUGCUAAUCACAGAUUUUCUUCCGAUACGUGCCGAGAUUCACGUCGUGACAUCCGGCUGGGCGUGGAUAUCACGGCCCUUUGCUAGUCAUGCUCGAUUAUCUGGUAAUGCUCUCCGAAGUUUUGGGAUUUGAAUCGGACCUGGGGACGUGGCCCCGAUUCUUCCGAGGGCAGGUGUUUUGCCCGAACCCCGACUCAAGGGGCUCCUUGCCCCGAUUCCGGUUCCUUACGAUCAUGUCUCUGCUCCGUUUCCUCCAUCGAGAACUGAAGUGUCCAAUGAGCUCGGUUUCACCCGUAUACAAUAUCCAAGGCUUAGCCAAACUGAUGAAGCACGAAAGCUGCAGUUGUCCUUAUACACAAUGGUGGGAUAGAGACAAGUUUUUGCAAUGUAUUUGCAUCAGUUAUGCUAGACAUAUCUCUAUUUACUCUCUGGUCCAGACUUUUUCUUUUUGUUGUGUGGCCUCCCACUUAUGCUUUGUGUAGUCCUUACUUGACUCUUUUGUGCUCUUUUAUAUCACUUCCCAUAUUGAUAUUGAAACAUUUGUUGCAGAUGAUGAUGAAGAUUAACAGUAUGGGUGGUUUUCGGAGAAUUUGGUGCAGUAGCUGCUUAUAUGACGAGUCAGCUUUGUUUGUUCUGUUGAAGACGGAUCAGCUAAAAAACGCUUUAUGAUGGAAUUGUAUGUGGAGUGCCUCUAGUCGAGUUCUCUAAUAAUAAAAAUUGCAUUAUAAGUAAUGAAGCUACUUAUAUUAUGGUCCAUUCUCUGGCAUGGUGGAAGUGGACACCCCUAAUACAUCACUGUCAAUUCAAUAUAACUACUUCGAACUUUUAGCAACGCAUGAGUUUGUUAGGACAUAAGCUGUUGCUUGCUGAGAUUUAGCUCUUUCAGUUCAAAAUUGGUUUUAAAUAGUUGGUUCUGGUUGAGUCGGAUGAAUUCCAUUAAAUGGAAAGAAAACCAUUACAGGGAAAAAGAUGUCCCAAGAUUAUUAUGAUAUGUGGGUUUUGAUGCGUAUUACAUAUUUAGGAUUGUGAGG